Molecule: RNA transcript, 699 nt
Organism: Vicugna pacos (alpaca)
Lineage: Eukaryota; Metazoa; Chordata; Mammalia; Artiodactyla; Camelidae
Gene name: serine/threonine-protein phosphatase CPPED1 pseudogene
Source: RefSeq, a predicted model, not a curated record
GUCCUCAACUCCCAGUUCUUCUACGAUGCCUCCAUGUGCCCUGCCUUGAAGCAGGCCCAGGACCAGUGGCUGGACCAGCAGCUGAGCAUCGCUGGGCAGCAGAGGUGCCAGCACGCCGUCGUCUUCCAGCACAUCCCGCUGUUCCUCCAGAGCAUCGAUGAGGAGGAUGACUACUUCAACCUCACCAAGUCCGUUCGGAAGGAGAUGGCAGACAAGUUCUCCAAAGCAGGUGUCAAAGCUGUGUUCUCAGGUCACUACCACAGGAAUGCCGGGGGCACCUACCAGGACCUGGACAUGGUGGUGUCAUCUGCCAUCGGAUGCCAGUUGGGCAAAGACACCCACGGGCUCCGAGUCGUGGUGGUCACUGCUGAGAAAAUUGUCCAUCGAUACUACAGUUUAGAUGAGCUGAGUGAGAAAGGAAUAGAAGACGAUCUGAUGGAUUUGAUGAAGAAAAAAUGAUUGCUGGUUAUGAUCUAUUCACUUUUCACUUCUACUAUUUUUUCAUUCUGUCAGAAACAGCAGCUGCACACAACCCCUUAUUGGAAAAAAAACUAUACCAGGCAGAUUUUUGAAUUUAUGUCCUUUUGCAUAAAUCAGAGAGCUGGGUCCUGUCCUAAAUGAUAUUCAAAAUAGAACUGCCUUCCCUUUAAAAAAGAGAGUGCAGGAGCCUGGAAAUAAAAGGAUAACUGACAUGAAAAA